GACGAACGCUGGCGGCGUGCCUAAUACAUGCAAGUCGAGCGACGAGGCUUGGCGCUUGCGCCAAUUUGAAGAGCCGCAAACGGGUGAGUCACGCGUGGAGCAUCUGCUUUUGAGCGGGGUACAACCUGUGGACACGAAUGCUAAUACCGCAUAACAACUUUAAACAUAAUGUUUAAGUUUGAAAGAUGCAAUUGCAUCACUCAAACAUGAUCCCGCGUUGUAUUAGCUAGUUGGUGAGGUAAAGGCUCACCAAGGCGGUGAUACAUAGCCGACCUGAGAGGGUGGUCAGCCAGCUUGAGACGGAGACACGCCCCAUACUCCUACGGGAGGCGGCAGUAGUGAAACGGGAGCAAUGGGCGAAAGUCUUACCGAGCUGCGCGGCGUCAGUGAAGAGCGUCUCCGGGUCGUAGAUCACUGUUGGUAGGGAAGAACGCUGGUGAGAGUGGAAAGCACAGCAAGUGACGGUAACUACUCAGAAAGCGACGGCUAACUACGUG
This 497-nucleotide ribosomal RNA is filed under the name uncultured bacterium. RNAcentral's name for it is "partial 16S ribosomal RNA". It matches the Rfam family "Bacterial small subunit ribosomal RNA", at positions 28 to 507 of the family's 1533-position model. The record is from RNAcentral.